RNAcentral lists this ribosomal RNA (333 nucleotides) under uncultured bacterium. RNAcentral's name for it is "bacterial SSU rRNA". It matches the Rfam family "Bacterial small subunit ribosomal RNA", at positions 28 to 334 of the family's 1533-position model. The record is from RNAcentral.
GAUGAACGCUGGCGGCGUGCUUAACACAUGCAAGUCGAACGGGGUUAUGAAGUGUGAGGAGUCAGCUUGCUGGUGACGAACAGUUCAUAACUUAGUGGCGGACGGGUGAGUAACGCGUGGGUAACCUGCCAUAUACAGGGGGAUAACACUUAGAAAUAGGUGCUAAUACCGCAUAAGCGCACGGAGCUGCAUGGCUCAGUGUGAAAAACUCCGGUGGUAUAUGAUGGACCCGCGUCUGAGUAGCUUGUUGGCGGGGUAACGGCCCACCAAGGCGACGAUCAGUAGCCGGCCUGAGAGGGUGGACGGCCACAUUGGGACUGAGACACGGCCCAA